UACGUAUGGUGCAAGCGUUAUCCGGAUUUACUGGGUGUAAAGGGAGCGUAGACGGUAAUGUAAGUCUGAUGUGAAAGCCCGGGGCUCAACCCCGGCGAGCCGUUGAAACUGACGGUCUUGAGUGGGCGAGAAGUAUGCGGAAUGCGCGGUGUAGCGGUGAAAUGCAUAGAUAUCGCGCAGAACUCCGAUUGCGAAGGCAGCAUGCCGGCUCCACACUGACGCUGAGGCACGAAAGCGUGGGUAGCGAACAGG
RNAcentral lists this ribosomal RNA (252 nucleotides) under uncultured Bacteroidales bacterium. RNAcentral describes it as "partial 16S ribosomal RNA". It matches the Rfam family "Bacterial small subunit ribosomal RNA", at positions 524 to 776 of the family's 1533-position model. Lineage: Bacteria; Pseudomonadati; Bacteroidota; Bacteroidia; Bacteroidales. The record is from RNAcentral.